This 417-nucleotide ribosomal RNA is filed under the name uncultured bacterium. Its description in RNAcentral is "bacterial SSU rRNA". It matches the Rfam family "Bacterial small subunit ribosomal RNA", at positions 508 to 927 of the family's 1533-position model. The record is from RNAcentral.
UCAGCAGCCGCGGUAAUACGGAGGGUGCAAGCGUUAUCCGGAUUCACUGGGUUUAAAGGGAGCGCAGGCGGACUUGUAAGUCAGUGGUGAAAUACCUGAGCUUAACUCGGGAACUGCCAUUGAUACUAUAGGUCUUGAAUGUUGUUGAGGUUUGCGGAAUGGGUCAUGUAGCGGUGAAAUGCAUAGAUAUGACCCGGAACACCUAUUGCGAAGGCAGCAGGCUAAACAAAUAUUGACGCUGAGGCUCGAAAGCGUGGGGAUCAAACAGGAUUAGAUACCCUGGUAGUCCACGCCCUAAACUAUGAUUACUCGACAUACGCGAUACACUGUGUGUGUCUGAGCGAAAGCAUUAAGUAAUCCACCUGGGAAGUACGACCGCAAGGUUGAAACUCAAAGGAAUUGACGGGGGCCCGCACA